Molecule: non-coding RNA, 219 nt
Filed under: Bacillus methanolicus MGA3
Lineage: Bacteria; Bacillati; Bacillota; Bacilli; Caryophanales; Bacillaceae
Source: RNAcentral
AAUGCAUAAACAACAAGGGCAAUAAUAGCUGGAACUUUUCCGAUGCCAAAUAACGGAAUGAAGAGUCCAAGCAGUGCAAGGGAAGGGAUUGUUUGCAGAACGGCUGUUAUACCGAUGAUCCCUUCAGCUACUUUUUUAUUUUUUGUUAAGUAAAUGCCGAGCGGAAUGGCGAUAAUGACAGCGAAAAAGAGAGCAAUAAAGGAAAUUUGAAUAUGUUCA